RNAcentral lists this ribosomal RNA (253 nucleotides) under uncultured bacterium. RNAcentral describes it as "partial 16S ribosomal RNA". It matches the Rfam family "Bacterial small subunit ribosomal RNA", at positions 524 to 776 of the family's 1533-position model. The record is from RNAcentral.
CACGUAGGGCGCGAGCGUUGUCCGGAAUUAUUGGGCGUAAAGGGCGCGUAGGCGGCACGGCAAGUCGGGAGUGAAAGCCCGGGGCUCAACCCCGGAACGUCUUUCGAAACUGCCGAGCUAGAGUGCGGAAGGGGCAACUGGAAUUCCCAGUGUAGCGGUGAAAUGCGUAGAUAUUGGGAAGAACACCUGAGGCGAAGGCGGGUUGCUGGGCCGACACUGACGCUGAGGCGCGAAAGCCAGGGGAGCGAACGGG